This 253-nucleotide ribosomal RNA is filed under the name uncultured bacterium. Its description in RNAcentral is "partial 16S ribosomal RNA". It matches the Rfam family "Bacterial small subunit ribosomal RNA", at positions 524 to 776 of the family's 1533-position model. The record is from RNAcentral.
UACGUAGGGGGCAAGCGUUGUCCGGAUUUAUUGGGCGUAAAGAGCGUGUAGGCGGUCAGGUAGGUCCGUUGUGAAAACUCGAGGCUCAACCUCGAGACGCCGAUGGAAACCAUCUGACUAGAGUCCGGAAGAGGAGAGUGGAAUUCCUGGUGUAGCGGUGAAAUGCGCAGAUAUCAGGAAGAACACCCGUGGCUGAGGCGGCUCUCUAGUACGGUACUGACGCUGAGACGCGAAAGCGUGGGGAGCGAACAGG